GUAGGGAAUAUUGGGCAAUGGAUGCAAGUCUGACCCAGCCAUGCCGCGUGGAGGAAGAAGGUCCUCUGGAUUGUAAACUCCUUUUUUGGGGGAAGAAUAGUUCUCUUGCGAGGGAAUGUGACGGUACCCUAAGAAUAAGCCACGGCUAACUACGUGCCAGCAGCCGCGGUAAUACGUAGGUGGCAAGCGUUGUCCGGAUUUAUUGGGUUUAAAGGGUGCGUAGGUGGUUUGAUAAGUCAGUGGUGAAAGCUGGUUGCUCAACAAUCAAGUUGCCAUUGAUACUGUCGGACUUGAGAGAAGUGGAGGUGCAUGGAAUGGAUGGUGUAGCGGUGAAAUGCAUAGAUAUCAUCCAGAACGUCGAUUGCGAAGGCAGUGGGCUGUACUUUAUCUGACACUGAGGCACGAAAGUGUGGGGAUCAAACAGGAUUAGAAACCCCAGUAGUCC
RNAcentral lists this ribosomal RNA (445 nucleotides) under uncultured bacterium. RNAcentral's name for it is "partial 16S ribosomal RNA". It matches the Rfam family "Bacterial small subunit ribosomal RNA", at positions 354 to 796 of the family's 1533-position model. The record is from RNAcentral.